Molecule: ribosomal RNA, 505 nt
Filed under: uncultured bacterium
Lineage: Bacteria
Description: bacterial SSU rRNA
Rfam family: Bacterial small subunit ribosomal RNA
Source: RNAcentral
CGCUGGCGGCGUGCUUAACACAUGCAAGUCGAACGCGAAAGGGACUUCGGUCCUGAGUAAAGUGGCGCACGGGUGAGUAACGCGUAGAUAACCUGUCUUCAUGUCUGGAAUAAUACGCCGAAAGGGGUACUAAUACCGGAUAUUCUUGCUUUUCAUAAGUUAUGCAAGCAAAGGUGGCCUCUGCAUAUGCUACUGCAUGAAGAGGGGUCUGCGUACCAUUAGCUAGUAGGUGGGGUAAUGGCCUACCUAGGCGACGAUGGUUAGCGGGUCUGAGAGGAUGAUCCGCCACACUGGCACUGGAACACGGGCCAGACUCCUACGGGAGGCAGCAGUGAGGAAUAUUGCGCAAUGGGGGAAGCCCUGACGCAGCGACGCCGCGUGAGUGAAGGAAGGCCUUCGGGUCGUAAAGCUCUGUCAAGAGGAAAGAAGUGUACAAUGGCUAAUACCUGUUGUAUUUGACGGUACCUCUAAAGGAAGCACCGGCUAACUCCGUGCCAGCAGCCGC